UUUAGAAAUGAUGAUGACAUAUAUCGAAAAUACCAGAUGCUUUUUGCAACUGUUGAAUCAAUAUAUUUGCACGUCAGUCUGAUUCUAUU
Molecule: small nucleolar RNA, 89 nt
Filed under: Zostera marina
Lineage: Eukaryota; Viridiplantae; Streptophyta; Magnoliopsida; Alismatales; Zosteraceae
Description: Small nucleolar RNA Z122
Rfam family: Small nucleolar RNA Z122
About the family: Z122 is a member of the C/D class of snoRNA which contain the C (UGAUGA) and D (CUGA) box motifs. Most of the members of the box C/D family function in directing site-specific 2'-O-methylation of substrate RNAs.
Source: Rfam by way of RNAcentral